UUUUCUGUCAUCUGAUGACUGAUGGCUCUUUGUACUGAUGGCCAAGUCAUAACUGAGGGUUAAAGCCAGGACUACUUCAGAUUAGUUUGUUCAAGGAAGAAGAUACAGCAUUAUUCAAACCAGUAAGAAGAGCUAAGUCUUCUCUUUCACCAGACUUAAUUUUUUUGGGAUCCUGUAGGAAAGAAGCUGAGAGUGAGUUCCCAGACCAUACCAAUGCAUGUCCUUCUGUUCGGUCCCAACUGCAGGCCACUUGAUGGACAAAGACACUGUACCUCCCCUUUGACUUCUUCACAUCCAUAUUGGCAAUUCACCAUGGCACAUGUCCUAGAACCUGAAAACAGUAUUUAAAAUACCAACAAGAGCAAAAAUCUAGGCUGGGUUCACACACUUAAAAAUUUAGUUUGAUCUGGAUAAGUGCAGAAAAUUAUUCAGAACAACAAAAUUCCACUCAUCAUCAAUCAAGCUGUUCAUACAUCAACACAUCAGUGAUACAAUUCAGGAAUCCAUGAGAUAGAUCUUAAAUUCACCUUCCCCCUUUUUUUUUUUUUUUCCUUCUUUGCCCUUACUCCUCCUUUUUUCUCUGCUCCUAUUUCGUGAGUUCUUACUACUACCUUAAAGAUUCAGAGUCAGAACUGCUUAAAGUAGAAAAAAAGUUUUUUGUAUUUGCCCUUCCAACAGUUUCACCAUAAAGAAAACUGUUCAGUAGUGAAUUGCAUUUAUUGCUUACCAUUAAACGUCUCCAGUAUAGAAUUUGAUUUUAAAAAGCUAUUUAGCCUGAUGAACUUAAAAACUGCCCUAUAGUUUGAUCCUUUAUGAAAUCUAAUGAGGCACUAGAAAAACGUAAGUCAUGGUUGCUACAGUUGGUUAGGAGUAUGAAAUAUUGGAGAUGACUUUUAUUAGCCUCUAAAGAGAAAUGCAGGCAUCUACAUCUUGUCUGGGAGACCUAUGAGAGGCUAGAAAAGUAGGAGAAACAUAAUAAAUACGUAGGGAGACAUUCCUGAAAUCCUGAAGAUAACCAGGAAGCAUUAGUGUUAUAAUGCCAGGGACUGAAGUGUUUAUUGGAAGAGAUGGAGGUGUGUGCAAAGAAAGUAUUUCUGGCUACUUCAUUCUGGUUGUGUUAGGGAAGCAGAAUUGUAUAUAGGAAAAGUGGAAAGCCUGGAACAGCUGACAGUUUAUUUCAGACAGAAACCAACUAUAAGAUCUUGAAACUAGCUCACCACUUAGGUAGAAAAUUAUAUAAAUUAUAUUUUGAAAUUCAAUGUGUUUAUUUGCAGAGGUACUAGCACAUUCAGAACAGUGUAUAAUAACAGAAUGUAUAGAAAAGACAACAUGUGCAGGUGCAUACAUAGCUACAGCCAUAUUAUUUCAUAUGAAUAAAAAAUCCAAUGCAGUUGUGUGUGAUUAAAAUUAAUGCAUUUAAUCUGUGAUAAAAUUAUUUUUCUUAAACCAGUUUGUUUAGACUAUGUGGCUAAGUUAUAAAUACUGAAGGCCAAGAAUUCAGUGUAUUUGCAAAUGCAUUUUACUUGUGUAUGAAUAAGAACAUACAAGAAACAAGAAUUUUAAAAAGAUUGACUGUAAACCAUAAUACUUUGUCAUCUACUUUGUCAUCAUCUACUUCCUAAAUGGUAAUAAAGAAACUUACUAGACUUUAUUAUUCUCUAA
Molecule: long non-coding RNA, 1662 nt
Organism: Apus apus (common swift)
Lineage: Eukaryota; Metazoa; Chordata; Aves; Apodiformes; Apodidae
Exons: 2
Source: RefSeq, a predicted model, not a curated record